This 15605-nucleotide long non-coding RNA is filed under the name Elaeis guineensis (African oil palm). RNAcentral describes it as "long non-coding RNA (EGUI_LNC025267)". Lineage: Eukaryota; Viridiplantae; Streptophyta; Magnoliopsida; Arecales; Arecaceae. The record is from RNAcentral.
AAAGAUAACGAGAGGUAGAGUACAAGAUAGACAAAAGCAUGCGAAUUACUGAAGCAUAAGAUUCCAACAUAUCUAAGUUCUCUCAUAGACAGCUUCUUCCUUCUAUCAAGCAUUACUUCUGGAAUUCAAGGAUUGUGUAGAAAUGGUCCGAAUAGAAUGCUUUGAAGUUGGAGAAUCCGACCGAGAGCCCUAUCUGCCGGAACUCUUCCUCGGUGCGUCCUCUCCCCUGAACUCGGUAAAUGGUCAUGACAAAGAUGUCAUUCUCCAGCAGGGCUCGAGUUCUCUGGCUGUUGUCAGUCUCUUCUGGGAGCACUGGCUCGCAAGCAAUCACCUUCCCCUUUUCUGGCAGGGCUUUGUAGCAGUUCUUCAGUAUCAGCAUGCACUCCUCAUCAGUCCAUGUCAUCAGUACCCACUGCAUGGAAUAACCGAAAACAAGCAUGAAUUCAAGCAUCUAAUUUAGCAGUAAGUUAUGUUGCUACGUGAACGGCUGAUCACUUUGCCCGGGUGAUACCAGCCAUAAAAAAAUAUAAAUAAUGAAUAUAAAGAGGAAAGAAAGUGUUGCGGCCAAUCCCCGAGUGUGCCUGAGUCUGGCGAUGAGCAACCUGCAAAACAAAUCCACACUGACCGGAGUUAUGUCCGACGGAGACCCUCUGAUGUUUAAGUCAGCAGAGAGUGAUGAACAAGAUAGUUGAAAGUAGAUGUCAACAAUAUAUUAGCCCAAAAGUGUCUUAUCCCCGCUGUUCUCUUAGCUUCUCUUUAUAUAGGCAAUCUGGGUGUAAUUGUCCGUGACGGUCAGGCACGUGGGGUCCUGCUUAUUCCGGCAUUAUAUAUGAUCAUGAGGUGGACAGCCCAUCAAUAAUCAUCAUAAGUAGCCGUUACGCGCUAUUUGUGCUGGUGGUUUCUGAUAUACCGACUGUGCCGGUGAUGUGGAUGCACCGACUGUAUGUCGGUGCUUGUAAUGUGCCGACUGACCAUCGGUUUAUGAUUUUGAUAUUUCGAUUGGUCAUCAGUUAUGUUGAUUGAGUUGUUAUGGUUGACUUAGAAUCGUCAGGAAAGUCGAUUGGAAACUACCAACUGUUUGUUGGUGUACUGACUGAUAGUUGGAUGCUUGUGUUCAUGGCGCCGAUAGAAAGUGGGAUGAUGAGCCUUGUAAAUAUUGUGUUGAAACAGAACUCGUUCGACGGUCUGAUUUUGACGGUUCAUCACUAGAUAUUGACACAUAGUCGGGAGACCGACUGUGAAUCGGGGGGAGCAGGUCCGGUUGUUCCAACAGUUGUCCCCCACUCCCAAGUCCAAGGUGGCUUGACACGUGGCUUGACAUGUGACUUGACACGUUGGACGAAGGGAGUCACCACAUGUCAUUUCGGAUCCCGAUUGUAUGGUCGUUUCAGCUACAGGCAUUAAUGAUCCCCUCGAAAAUUGAAAGAUCUCCAGCUGUUUUGUUGUUUCGAUGAUUGCGCAAUCAUCAUCUGAGACAAUCUCGAUUUCAAUGAGCAUAUCUCAGCUGUUGACGGGUUAUAUAUAAGGGUUGUCUUCCUCCUCUUAUCGAGUUCUCUACUACGACUGAGAAUUUGAGAGUGCCUUCCGUUGGUUUCGACUAUUGAAUGUUCCAUUGGAGGUUUCCAGCAGGUGUUGAGAGCAUCAGGGAAGAAUUGUCUUCUUCCCCAUGUUUUCAUGAUCUCCAGCUCCUUUAGUUUUCAGAUUAUGCCUUCCUCCUUCUUUCCACUUUUCCUCCACCUCUUCUUUUCUGCCAUUAUCAAUGGCAAGUAGUAGUAGGAAGGGUAAGAAUAAGGUUAGGAUAGAUGAGGAUAGAUCUAGUCUUGAGCCCUCUCGGGAUAGUCGACCGGCUGGUUCGGUUAGCGAUUCCCUUCUGGGUUCGGCAGUAAAGGCUUCCUCUAUCACCGAAUCCACAGUCAUCCGCCUCCAAUACAGUUUCGGCUGCAUGCUCCCAGUCCGAAUGAUCGGGUGAUUUUCCCUCCUCCGGAUCAAGUUGCUUUACAUAUAGAGAACCAUAGGGCUGGCCUUCCUUUCCUGAUUCCAGACUUUGUUCGGAAUGUUUUAGACAAUUACCGACUCUGUCCAACCCAACUUGUGCCGAAUUCCAUUCGGCUUCUUAUUAGUUUUGCCCUAUUGUGCCAUAUGCUUCCGACCAUUCCUCGGAUUUUUCUUUUCCGACCCUUCUUCGUCCUUCGCCCCCAUGCUAAGGCUGAGGGCUGGUGGUUCUUCAGCCUGAGAAAGGAUUUGUCCUUCAUUACCAACCUUCCUUCUUCCAUCCAUAAUUGGAAGAUCCAAUUCUUCUUUAUUUCUUCUUUUUUGCCUUGGGGCUUUCCUUCCACCUGGAGGAAUCCGAGGACGAGCCCAAAUGAGAACAGUCAAGUCGAAGCCACCGAUUGAGAAGACUUCCUCCGACUGAAGGACAUAAAAGUCUCUCAACAACGAGAGCUGUUGAUGAAGCAGGCUCUUCAUGAUGCUGGACUUAGUUCGGCACUUACCGUAGGUAUAGCAUAGUCAAUUUUUCAUUUUCAUUUUUUUUAAUCUAAUUUCAAAUUUGUAACUAAGUCGUUAUUUUCUACUUGCAACUAUGCGACCUUCGACGUGACCUUCGGCAGAUGAGGUCCGACGAUUCGCCGCCAAGAAGAGGCUCGCUGCCAGUGCGGAUCCCUCUCAUGCGUUGAAGAAGGUUCAGCCCGACACAUCGUCGGUGGUCAUCCUUGAAGCCGUCGCCGAAGCGAUUGUUGCAUUGUUCGCUCUAACAGCUUUACCACUAGUCGAAGUUCACUCGCCGAUUAGGCAACCAAGUGAUGAAGUUGUUGUCAUGGUUGCCGAUCCAGAGUUGGACAGCAGGGGGCUGAUGGUAUCUCGGGUGCCACCCAUGCUCGAACCAGAGCCGGUCAACAUAGAGCCGACCAUAUCUCGGGUGCCACCUACAUUUGAAUGGAUGGCGAUUCUCGAAUAUCAAUCAUCCGCACAGGAACGCGAGAAGGCACUAGAAGUUUCAACUAACGAUGGGGCUCCAAUGAACUUUACGGAGCUCUUCGACAUUCGGAUUCCCACUGAUGAGUUGGCUUUGGCAAACCCAAAGUUGGCUAAGUGGCUUUUGGAGGCUGCACUUCUUCUGAUUGAUAGAGAGAAUAAGAAGAGUCGGACCAUGUUUGACAUGUUCUCGUCAUAUUACCCGACGAUCCUCAGCAUAAGUUGGUACUCCGUCCACCUGCCUUUCUUAUACUUGCUCUCUUUUUUUUUUAACUCUUCUAUUCUUCUUUUCAGCUAGUGCAUGACAUAUCGGCACUAGAAAGAGGAUAUAGGACGAUCGCAGACCUCUGUCGAUCAUGGGCCGAUAGGAUUGCAGGCGCAAACGCCGACAAAGCUAAUUGGGAUCGAACGUCUUCAAGCGGCAACUGAAUGGGAGAAAUAUCAGAAGGAGAUCUCCCACAUGAAAACUGAGUUGGAGUCGACUAAAGCUGAGUUAGAAACGGCUCAAUAGUCGGUCGAGUCCCAAAAGGAGCGAAUUAAGAGGAAGAAGCACAUGAUCAGUCGGCUCUGGAGGGAACGUGAUGGUUGUAUCCAAGAAUUGGAGGAAGAAUGGAAGAUGCAUCGGGCUACCGAAGCUCGAUUGGCACUGGUCGAUUUAGAGUUGGCCUCUGCUAAGGAGGAGGCGAAGUCGGCUCAGGAGGCUCUCAGUCGGGCGAAGGAGCAGGCUGUCAAGGAUUACAAGAAGUCUGAAAACUUCAAAAAUGAAAUCCUCGAGGGUGGCAAUACGGCUUACUAGGUUGGGUAUGAAGAUGACAAAGAUCCUGUCAGGAAUUUUUACCCGAACCUGGAUCUGAGCAGCAUCACUAUCCUGGCGGGACAGUGGAGCCGAGCGACGAAGCGACUGCUUCGACUGAAGAAGCCGUACCUGCAUCGAUCGAAGUAGAGCCGAUUACUGUCGAAGGCCAGGAGAUUGGAGCUGCAGCGGUGACCAGUGCAGCAGCUAAGGAGAUCAAGCAGCAAUCGGCGUAGAUGUCAUAGGUCUUUAUUUUUGCUAUCGGACCGUAAUCCAACUUUUCUUUUUGUAACCGGAUCUUAGUCUGAUUUUGUAACCCUCUGUUGAUAAACGAAUGAAAAUAAAUUUUUUCAAGUAUUGAACUUCUUGAAUGUGUCAUUUGUCGUAGAUAAUCGUUACCAACGUAGACAAAUAUCAAUAAGCAGCCGAUUAUCAAUUGAUAUGCCAACUAAUAAUCAAUAGUUAAAGUAGUAGGAUUUGCCUGUUAGUCGGAUAUUAGCCAAUUAAACUUUAGGAAUGAAAUUUUUUAAGUAUUUGACAUACGGGAGCUAGCCGAAUAUCCUUCGACCAAUCAGAGUCAAGUCGGUAUAUUUUUUGCUCGACCGAAGUCGAAUCGACUUAUUAUUCUGCUCAACUGUAGUUGAGUCAGCAUAUAUAGUUGUCCACCUGAUGUCGAUAUGUAAAGUCAACCGAUCGGAGUCGGCGUAUAUAGUCAUCCGACCGGAAUUGAGUCGGUAUGUAUAUUGGUUGAUUAGUCAUUAGUCAGAUAUCAUAUAUCCAGUUGAAAAUUUGUUGAAAAUCGAUCAUAUCAUUUCAAAUAUGUUGUACAUGUGGACAAAUUCAUUGAUAGUACAUUCGAAGGUUAUCUGCAUUCUAUGUUUAAAGGACAGUCAUUCCAUCGAGGGUCUUUAGUCGGUAUGCGUCUGGACGAAGUAUUUCGGUCAUCCUAUAAGAUCCUUCCCAGUUUGGAGAUAGUUUUUCUUGAUCCAAGAAUUUUGAAACUUCUACUUUUCUCGGGACCAAGUCUCCAGAAUGAAAAACCUUCGAUUUGACCCUUGUGUUGUAAUAUCGGACCACUUUUGGUCCGUAUGCAGCCAUUCUUAUUUGAGCUUGCUGCCAAACCUUCGAGAGUAAGUCCAAGUCGGCUCUUCGACAGUCGGACUUGCUUGGCUCUGCAUACUGCUCGAUCCUCAUUGAUGGCAGUCCGAUCUUCAAUAGGAUCACUGCUUCUGUUCCAUAUGUAAGGUUGAAUAGUGACUCUCCUAUUGCAAUGGGAGUUGUCCGAUAGGUCCAUAAGACAAGGUAUAGCUCUUCUACCCAAAAGUCUUUGACUUCAUUCAGUCGAGUCUUGAGACUAUGUAGGAUUGAUCGAUUUGUCACCUUUGCUUCACCGUUGGAUUAUGGAUGGACGAUAGAGGUGAGUUUGUGCGUAAUAUGAAGUUUCACAGAGAAACUCUUUGAAUUUCUGAUUACCGAAUUGUCGAUCAUUGUUGGUGAUGAUAGUAUGUGACAAUCCGAAUCUACAUAUGAUAGAUUUUUGAAUGAAGUCUUCUAUAUUUUCUUUGGUGAUUUGCGCUAAGAGUUCAGCUUCCACCUACUUGGUGAAAUAGUCCUCCACUAUGACUAAAAAUUUUCUUUAACCGAUCGCCAGAGGAAAGGGAUCGAGUAUGUCAAUUCCCUAUUGUGCGAAUGGCAAUGGUGCAAUGAUUGAUGUCAAUUGACUUGUCGGUUGAUGCUGUAUAUUGAUAUAUCUUUGACAUGCUUUGCAUCUCUGAACAAGCUCAGCUGCAUCUUUCCUCAUGAUGGGCCAGUAGUACCUCUAUUGUAGAAUUUUAUAGGCCAGUAAUUUGCCCCUCAAGUAAUUUUCGUAAAUCCCUUCGUGGAUUUCUCAGAGAGCAUAGUCGACUUCGAUAGAUCUCAGGCACUUGAGCAGUGGAAGAGAGAACGACUUUUUGUAUACUUACUCGUUCAUCAAUACAUAUUGAGAAGCCGUCCAACUUAGUCAUUUGGCUUUCAAUGAAUCUCUCGAAAGGGUACCGUCGGUUAAGUAUUGAAUGAUUGGAUCCAUCUAGCUUGAUUCAUCUUUUAUUUGAUGCACUUCAUCGAUCUUGUCGAUACUCGAUUGUUUGAGAUAUUCGACGAACGUUCCGUCGAGUAGAUUGGAAGUAGUCGCCAGUCGAGAUAGUGCAUCGACACGUAUAUUUUCACUUUUUAGAAUGUGAGAGAUCUCAAAAUAUUUGAAGAUUUGAAUGAGAUUCCUCACCUUCUUAAGGUAGUUCGUCAUGAUCGGAUCUUGGACUUCAAAUUUUUUCUUGACCUGUUCGAUGAUCAGUUGUAAGUCAGUGAAGAAUUUUAAGUUGUCUACAUCAAGCUCUCUCACAAUCUUCAAGCCGGCUAGUAAGGCUUCAUACUCGACUUGAUUAUUGGAUGCUUUGAAAUUGAACUGAAGGACGUAUUCAAUCACAGUCCCUUCGGAGUCAGUGAGGAUGAGGUCGAUCCCACUCUCUUGGGCGUUGGACGCUCCAUCAAUGUGUAGCGCCCAUACUGAUUCAGGUUCGACCUCUGGAUUCUCAAGCUGCUCCAACUUAUCAUCGAAUUUAUGAUCAGAUUUGUUGUCGCGUAUAGUACACUCGACGAUAAAAUCGAUCAAGAUUUGAGCCUUCAUUGAUGGUCAUGGGCAACACUAUAUGUCAAAUUCACUGAGUUUGAUCGUCUAUUUUGCCAUCCGAUCAAAAGUAUCUGAUCGAUGUAAGAUCGCCUUCAAAGACUGGUCCGUCAAGAUGAUUAUUAAGUGUACUUGAAGGUAUGAUCAAAAUUGUUGAGCCAAUAUAAUCAGAGCGUAGAUCAUCUUCUCCACCUUCGAAUAUCUUGUCUCGACGUUGUGGAGUACCUUGCUGGCGUAGUAGAUUGACCGUUGAAUUUGAUUUUCAUCCUCCCGAAUAAGAACCAAACUAACUGCUUCCGAAAAAAUUGCUAAGUAAAGAUACAGCGUUUCUCCCUCCUUUCAUUUUGUUAGUGGGGGAGCCAUCAAAUACUUUUUCAAAUCUUCAAAGAAUUGUUGGCAUUCAUCCGACCAUGAGAAGUCCGUCGUUUGUUGCAAGAUCUUGAAGAAAGAUAGACACCUUUCUGCUGACUUCGAAAUGAAUCGACUAAGUGCAGCAAUCCUUUCGUUUAGUUGUUGUAUCUCCUUCUUGAAGCUGGGAUGCUUCAUGUCGAUAAUGGUCUUUAUUUUCUUCGAAUUGGCCUAGAUUCUUUAUUGCGACAUGAGAAAUCCGAAGAAUUUUUUGGCAGUCAUCCCGAAUAUACAUUUAGUCAGAUUCAACUUCAUCCGGUGUCAUCGAAGUGUGUCGAAGGCUUUCUUUAAGUCCCGGACAUGAUCAUGGAUCUCGACGCUUUUCACCUGCAUGUCAUCAAUGUAGACUUUCAUGUUCCGUCUAAUUUAUUGCUUGAAAACUUUAUUGACCAACUGUUGAUAGAUUGCUCUGGUAUUUUUUAAAUCGAAUGACAUCACUUUGUAGCAGUAGAUGCCCUUAUCGAUUGUGAAAGUUGUAUUCUCUUCAUCUUCAGGCACCAUUUGGAUCUGAUUAUAUCUCAAGAAUAUGUCCAUCAAGCUCAGGAGUCUGUGCCCCGAUGUUGCAUCGACUAACUGAUCAGUCUUCAAUAAAGGAAAACUGUUCUUUGGACAUCUUCAUUUAAAUUGAUAUAGUUGAUGUAAAUCCUCCACUUUCUGUUGGCUUUCCUCACCAUCACGAUGUUGGCUAGCCAAUCUGAAUAGUUGGCUUCCUUGAUGAAGCCCGCCGCGAGAAGCUUGUCCACUUCUUCAUUAAUGACCUUCUACCUCUCUGGCACAAAGGAUCUUUUCUUUUGUCUCAUCGAUUUGGCUUUUGGAUCAAUGUUCAACCGAUGAGUUAUUAUUUUUGAAAAUAUUUUUGAUAUAUCCGCUGCCGAUCAAGCAAAAACAUCGACGUUGGCUCUCCAUAGUUCUAACAUUUGCUUUCGCUCCGACUCAGAUAGCUAUAACUCGAUUUGAAUAGUUUUAAUUGGGUCAUCCUCUCUCAAUAGGAUCAAAAUCAGAAGUUCAACUGGCUUUCCUCUUUCUUCAUUAUCCAUCUGGUCUAGUUUGUCAACCGACAGAGGAUCUUCAACUUUGCUGCCUUCGACUGAAACCGUGAAGCAGCGUCGGACCAGUUGUUGAUCCUCUCGCAUCUCCCCGACUCCACUCUUUGUUGGAAAUCGGACAAGGAGAUGGUAAGUCGAAACAACCGCUCUCAACGUAUUCAGUCCCGACCGUCCGAGUAUGGCAUUAUAAGUCAAAGAAACUCGGACAACCAUGAACGUUAAGAGAAUGAUGCUUUAUCACGGGUCGAUUCCUGCAGUUAGAGGAAGAGUAAUUUCUCCCCCCACAGUGGCUGCAUUUCCAGUGAAGUCGACUAAAAACGUAGAGACUCUUCUGAGUCGGUCAGUCGGUAGUUGCAUUUGGAAGAAAGUAGAGUAGAAUAAUACAUCUGUAGAGCUUUCAUUAUCUAUUAAUUUUUUUUUUAUAUCAUAAUUUGCUAUCGUCGUCGAGAUGAUGACAGCAUCAUCAUGAGUUUGUACUCCUCGAACAUUAUCAUCUGAAAAAAAAUUACAUUAUUAUGUCGUUGCUUUUUAAACGACUCUUCUUUGAAAGUUGCCCCCCAGUCUCUCGAUCGUCCGAAAAUCAUGUUGAUGACUCCCAUUAUUGGUCGAUUGUUGUUCAUAUCCUCAGAUUGAAGUUGAGAUUGUCAAUUGGCAGAAGGUUGAGUCGGACGAUCGCAUCAAAAUUUUUUAAGAUAGCCUCGUUGAAUCAGAACUUCUAUCUCACCCCUGAGUUGAAUACACUAUUCGGUGUUAUGACUGUGCUUACGAUGGAAUCCACAGUAUUUUCUCUUGUCGCGGCUCUUUGGUGGUGCUUUCAUUAAUGGAGAGUGAUGGAGGUACUCUUCUCCCUCAAUCUUCAUUAAAAUCUGUACAUGAGCAGAGAGAGGAGUGUAGGAGUUAUACCUAUUGCCGUAAUUAUUUGACUUCGGACUCCAUAGGUGGGGUGAAGCUCCUUUGCCAUGUGAUGUCCGACUUGAUUCGAUUAGGCUCCACUUUUUUUUUUUUCUUCUGACCUUUUUCUUCUGAUUAGCAUCGAUCAGUAGCACCUUCGUCCGUGCGUAUAUAUUUAUAUGCGCACUCAAGAAGUUCAGCAUAUAUCCGAAGGAGGAUCUUAUCCAGAGAAUAUGUAGACCUAGAUCCUCUCAAACCCCUCUUCAUGACCGAGAUGGCCAUAUCUUCAUUGAGAUCUCGGACCUCAAGUGUGGCGGUGUUGAAACGCGCCACGAAGCUUCUCAGAGUCUCUCCUUCAUUCUGUUUGAUGGAAAAGAGACUGUCGGACGUUCGCGGCAUCUUCCUGCUGGUGCUGAAGUGGGUUACGAACAAUUGCUCCAACUACUCAAAGGAAUGGAUGCUUUUCGAUUGAAACCCAGAAUAUCAGGCUCGAGCAGUUUUCCAAAUUGUAGCCGGAAAGCCAAGGCAUAAGAGGGUGUUAGUUGUCCCCUAAAUCAUCAUGAGAGCCUUAUAGCUCUCUAAAUGAUCGACAGGAUCGGUGGAGCCAGCAUAAGGCUCAAUCUAUGGCAUCUUAAAUCGAGUCGAAAUCGAUUCAUCUAAGUUGCGUUGGGAGAAGGAUGUAGCAGUGUGGAUGCCAAAGUCGUUGAAGGACACUAGGCCAUCCAUCUGAAGUUGGACGAAUCGACAGUCGAUUUUUCUAAAUUUACGUUCAUAGACAUCAAGCCAUCAUUGUUGGGAGAAUGCAGGGGUAGAAUCUCUCGAAGAACUAGAUGAGGAAGUUGAGGGCGUGCGUAGGCUCUUUCCCUUCUUGUCACUAUGGUGGCAAGAGGGGGAAGGGGACCAUCGCUGUCGUCGAGUGGUAUGAUGGGAGUGCCAGGAAGAUGGUAGCUCGACAUAAUGGAAAUGUCGAGCUAGUCGUCAUUUCGGAGAUGGAGAAGGAGAUCGUCGAGGGGUGCGAUGACUGUGCCUGGACGGCACUAUACGCGGUGCUGGCUCUUCCACCACCAGUUGCUGUUGCUGUGUUUGCUGCUGCUGGAGGCGGUGUACUGCCUCCAUCAGUAUUUUCAUCUUCUGUAUUAAAGUAGCGAGUUGUUGUAUGUCUGUUGUAACAACUGGAUGCGAAGAACUAGACUCUGCCAUUGGAGGUGGAGAUAGGAGAUCUUCUCAACGAGAAGAUUGCCUGACGGAGUCGAUGGAGUUGUUUUGGGCUCUUGUCUUUGCCAUGACUGGAUUCGUUCUCGCCACCUCUUUUUGGCACGCCCAUCUAUUAUUGUCAAUCCUUGAGUGCGCUUGAGUCCGACGACAAGCAACCUGCAAAACAAAUCCACACUGAUCGGAGUUGUAUCCGAUGGGGAUCCUCCGAUGCUUAAGUCAGCGAAAAGUGAUGAAUAGAAUAGUUGAAAAUAGAUUUCGACAGAAUAUUAACCCAGAAAUGUCUUAUCCUCAUCGUUCCCUUAUCUUUCCUUUACAUAGGCAAUCUGGGUGUAAUUAUCUAUGACGGUUAGGCACGUGGGAUCUCACUUAUCCCGACAUUAUGUGAUUAUGGGGUGGACAGUUCAUGCCCACCAAUAAUCGUGGUAAGUAGCCGUUACGUGCUCUUUGCACUGAUGAUUUUUGAUAUAUCGACUAUGUAUCAGUGAUGUGGGCAUAUCGACUGUAUGUCUGUGUUUGUAAUAUGCUGACUGACCAUCGAUUUAUGAUUGAUAUUCCGAUUGACCAUCGGUUAUGUCGAUCGAGUCAUUAUGGUUGACUUAAAAUCGCCAGAAAAGUCGAUUGGGAACUACCAACUGUCUAUCGGUGUACCAACCGAUAGUUGGAUGCCCGUAUCCAUGAUGCUGAUAGAAAGUCGGACGAUGAGCCUUGUAGAUAUUGUAGUUGAAACAAAACUCAUUUGACGGUCUGGUUUUGAUGGUUCAUCACCAGACAGCAUCACAUAGUCAGGAGGUCGACCAUAAAUCGGGGGAAGCAGGACCGGUUGUCCCAACAAAAAGAAUUGCAAGGAAUUUAGUCAUAUCGCUUCACCAAUCUAGUGUGUUUUUUCACUUUCGGAUUCUAAGGGGUGAUUAGUGGUGCUCCAAACACAUUCGAAUUGCAAAAUUUAUAAGCUUUCUCUAUCCUUUGGUGGAUUUUUACUUUCCCUCCUUAUUUUUUUGCAACCGUGUAUCUCAAUCAUUUGGCAAUAUCAAAUUAAUUAGCUGGUUGGGCAUCCAAAUUUAGUUCCAAAAGGUAAGUAAAUAAUUCAGCAGCUAAGCUUUUAUUCUGCAAUUAUAUAACAAACAAGAAUAAGUACCUUCAUGAAAAUAGCAUCACCUGCUGGAAUGGCUUUGAACAUGUCACCACCAACAUGAGUCAUACCUGCACCACCACAAGCACCUUGUUGCAAUCAGCAUGGAGCAAGCCAUGCUUGUUAAGGAAAAAGAGAGAGAGAGAGAGAGAGAGAGAGAGAGAGAGAGAAUAAUAACUAANNNNNNNNNNNNNNNNNNNNNNNNNNNNNNNNNNNNNNNNNNNNNNNNNNAUUAACACCCAAUAAUUUGAAAACUUAUGCUUAUCCUCCCGAGAUUUAUUUGUAUCUAACACUUUAAUGCAUAACUUAAUAGAAUAUUAGUUAAACUGUCAAUCUUAAAUGGCAUACAAAUGACAUAUCAAAAAAAAAAAAACCAAAAAUAACCUCAAGUGACAUAACAAUCAUCCAAGGAUGGAAACAUAUAUAUCCUUCUUCUUACUCAAGGGCAAUUUUGACUUUUCAUAUGAGAUAAAGGGUUCGCUAAUGUCAUUAGUUUAACUAGGUGCAAGCACAUAUUUUACAAAUUCUUGGGUUUAAGUAUAAUAAACAUAAACCUCAUGAGGUUUUUUUAUAAUUUGUUCAAAAAAAAAAGAGGAGAAAAUGGAAGUUAUGAAGCUCCAAACAACAAGUCAUCAUUUGAUGGAUUCUACAAGGCAUUUAAUCCAGCUUAAUUAAAUUUAAAGCAAGGAGAAUGAGUUUUACUCCCACUAGCUAAGCCUUUUUCUUCGAUAAUUUCAAUAUCAGAAGUGUCUAGCCAAUAAGAAUUUUGCUAUUCUUCUAGGGUGCACACCGUCCAUGAAAACUUAGUCCCAGAUCUUAAAGUGUCCUACAACUCCAUUAGUAGCCCAUCUAUAAAAUUAAAUUUAAAAAGAAGCAAAAAUGUAAAACUCUAGCCCUUCUUUGUUCUCCCUUGUCUCUGACAUCACUAAUCUUUGCACUUUCACCCCAAUCCCCUUCAUCUCUGAACUAUAAAGCCUAGAGCCAAUAAAAAAUGCUGACAGAUAUUUUAAUUGGGUGAUGAUAAAGCAUUGGGGAUGAGAAAGAGGCACAAACCAUCCUCACAAGAAAAUAAUGGAUAACAUAGUGAACAUAUUUAGUUAGAGGGAGUUGAACUUUGGAAUGGAAAUAGGGUCAUAUAUGAGAAUGAGUGAUUCUCAUUCUAACUGUUUGGUUGGGAGGAAUCUCAUUCUCAUUUUGAUUUCAGAUUUCAGGAGAGAAUGAAAAAGCAUGGAUUUUCUGCGAUGCUACAUGUGUACUGCAGUGUGCAGUGCACCUGUGGAUGCCAUCCAUCAUAGCAUGGACGGUUGCGCACAAUGUGCAUCACAUGUUUCCCGCUCAUGUGUGGCCAUCCAUCCUAUGAUGGACAGCAUCCAUGGAUGCACCGCACCUAGUAGUGCCGCACAUGCGCCACAGGAGAUCUACCCUCGUGAAUGGAAAUGCCCCAAACCCCUCAAACCCAGUGGCUUACUCUUAGCACUCCAUUGAUUCAUGUCAGGAAACAAACAUGAAGGAUAUCACCACGCUGACUCCAAUUCCAGUCAUGAAAAAAAAACGUGCCAUAUUGACUCCAUAAACCGUCAUUGGGGUGCAUCAGGAGACUGAUUUUUCGCGCGUCGCAAGGGAGGGGCCCGGAACUGGAUCUUCGGUGCGUGCGGGCUGAGGACUGCACCAUCUAUGUAAAUAGCCCCGUCAAGCCAAUGCAAGGAAAAAAAAAAAAAUCAUAUCCCAAAUGGGCCAGCAAAUUUAAAUUUUCGCAAAAAGCUAUGCUCUAGCUUCUUCCUAUAUGGCGGCUCACCUAUUUCCUGUUAAUCUGACACUCCAUGUCCAAAACUGGACUUGCAAAUCUUGUUAAUCUUUAUUUGUUAUUUGUAAAUCUGUAUAAUUAAGAAAAAGCAAAAACAUGGAAUCACAGCUACCUAUCUUAACUAGAAGAUGGUAUAAAUCAUUCACCUAAUACUACCUCUGUUACAAAUUAUGCUUCUACAACUGGAGUAAAACUAUUGAGUUGCCCAGAGUUGGCAUCGCACCUUUCAUACAGCAAGCCUUAGUAUGGACUUUGGAUGGUACUUUUUCUUGCACUAUAAUCAAAAGAAUAACGGGAUAAGAUUAAUCCACCCUAUCCUCAAAAAUAACUAAGUAAAUAAAUAAUGGAUCUGCUAGAGUGCAACUAGGCGCCGAUCAAUUAUACUGAUAGUUGUUGGCCACGUGAUGCUUUUUUUUUUUAAAGGUAGAGGGUCGGUAGCACGCGUACUAUCUUUAUCGGAUGUCUUUAAUGAUCGGCCUAAUUUCCGUGCCAGAAUUCAGAGCCCAACCAUAGAAUUCGUUACAAGUGUGCGAACCGCAUCCACGCCGUAUCUUCCAUGCAGUCGUCGCCGGAGGCGCUCUCGUCUUAACUACCGAGGCUACUUACCAUACACUGAGAUAUGUAUGAUUCGUGCCAUGCCUCUCAUCAGUUUCUAUCCUCGGCGUUCCGCGCCCACACGAAACGCAAAGUGGACGUGUAUACGCUUAUCACUCGCAUUCAAAUGUACACGUUAGCAAUAGAUGGUAGUGUCACUAAAAUACGCCGAUGGGUUUGCUACUCACCGGGGUACUUGGGCGCCUUGGCGACCACCUCCGGUAGGUCGAAGUUGACGCCGCGUUGUACGGUCGGGACGCGCUGCAUGAUGGCCCGGAGGCAGUCGCCAGAGCUUCCGCCGACGUCGACGACGGUGCGGACUCCAGCGAAGGCGGCGGCGUGGCCGUUGAGGAACGCGUCCAUGAAGGGCUUGGAGACUCCCCACAUGGCCCGCUGCAUGAGCUCGUUCGCCUCUCCGUCGCCACCGUAGUAGGCGUACGCCGGCGUCCCGCCGUUGGCCCGCGCAAAUGGCUCCGGCCCAGCCGGGUCCAGCACCGCCUCGUGGAGCCGCGGCCACGCCCGAACCAACGCAUCCUGAUGGUGCUGCAGGACGUACGCUGCAUAGGAUGGUCCAUCUUCGCCGCCGCCGUUGGAGGACGCGGCGGAGACGAGGGUCUGGCCGACGGGGGUGAGGGAGAAUCGGCGGACGCCUGAGGGGGAGAGGUGCUCGGUGAAGACGCCGUGGCUGGCGAGGAGGCGAAGGAGGCGCUGGAGGUUGCCGGGGUCGGUGGAGGGGGGCGGUGGGGGGCGGAGGAGGGGGAGGAUCUCGGCGGCGGAGAGGGGGGAGUUGGUGCCGGACUGCCAGAUGGCGGCGGGGACGUUGAGGCGGACGACGGCGUGGAGGGACAUGGGGACGGCGAUCAUGUUCGAGAGCUCCAUCAUCGCCAGAUUGGCCUUCUUCUGGACCUCCACCGGGUCUUCUCCGCCACCUCCCGCCGCCGCCAUCGAAGCCCGCGUCCUCGUUCCGUAGAGAAGACGCCGCCUCUUUCCCCAAUCGCGAUUAGAGUCGUCGCCCACAAUGGAUUCGGGAUCUACGGUGUGGGAUGCGGCCAUUUAAAAAAGACGGGUCCAGGCCGGGUCGAAUAUGUUCAAGCCUAUUCUCCUUUCCAUUCAAAAAUAAUUUUGACUUUUCAUAUGACAUAAAUGGUUCUACAAACACUGUUAAUUUAAUUAAAAAUAAAUAUAGAUUUUACAAAUUUUUUGAUAUGGGUGUAAUAAACAUGAUGGGGAGAUUUUUGUAAUUUAUCUUAUGACACACGCACGCGCACACAGACACACACAUACAUUUAUUCCAAGGAAGAAUUAUACUAGAAACAGAGGUUCCAACUAAUUCUUUAUUAGAAGGUGAUAACAAAUCUAACUUCUUCCAUAAACUUGCCUCCGGGAGGAAGAGGGAAAAUUUCAUGUGAUGAAGGUGUUGAAUAUAAUUACCAGGACAUCCCAAACAGGUUCAUCAUCUACGACAGUCACUUAUUCUCCUCGGCCAAUGAAAGUUGCCUACAGAUGAGACCUAUAUGGUGGCCCGGUUAUUGAUUUAUCUUGAGUGGUGUGUUUUUUUUACCUUUGAAGAAUUUAGAACUACUAUUCUCUCUGAAACAUAAGGUACAAACACAAGUCUCUGCAAACAGAAAGAAAGAUAACAAGAGGCGGAGUAGAAGAUGGAAAAGCAUGCGACCUACUGGAACAUAUAUAAGAUUCCAACAUAUGUAAGUUCUCUCAUAGACAGCUUCUUUCUUCUAUCAAGCAUUACUUCUGGAAUUCAAGGACAGUGUAGAAAUGGUCCAAAUAGAAUGCUCUCAAGUCAGAGAAUCCGACCGAGAGGCCUAGCCGCCGGAACUCUUCCUCGGUGCGUCCUCUCCCCCGAACUCAGUAAAUUAAUAUGACAAAGAUGUCAGUCUCUAGCAGGGCCCGAGUUCUCUGGCUGUUGUCAGUCUCCUCCGGCAGACCUUCCCCACUUCUGGCUAGGCGUCCUGGCAGUUCUUUAGCAUCAGCAUGUACUCGUCAUCAUUCCAUGUUAUCAGUACUAGGGAUGUAAGUUUGAUCCAAUUGUUUGAUUAUUGAAUCGAAUCAAAUAAGAUAAAUCGGUG